AACGAACGCUGGCGGCGUGCCUAACACAUGCAAGUCGAGCGCGAAUGGAGCAAUCCUAGUAGCGCGGCGCACGGGUGCGUAACACGUGGGUAAUCUGCCUGGGAGACCGGAAUAACCUGCCGAAAGGCUGGCUAAUACCGGAUAAGCCCACGGACUCUUCGGAGUCUGAGGGAAAAGGUGGCCUCUGUAUACAAGCUAUCACUUCCAGAUGAGCCCGCGGCCCAUCAGCUCGUUGGCGGGGUAAAGGCCCACCAAGGCAACGACGGGUAGCUGGUCUGAGAGGACGAUCAGCCACACUGGAACUGAGACACGGUCCAGACUCCUACGGGAGGCAGCAGUGGGGAAUUUUGCACAAUGGGCGAAAGCCUGAUGCAGCAACGCCGCGUGUGUGAUGAAGGUCUUCGGAUCGUAAAGCACUUUCGACCGGGACGAAACCCGUU
RNAcentral lists this ribosomal RNA (440 nucleotides) under uncultured bacterium. RNAcentral's name for it is "bacterial SSU rRNA". It matches the Rfam family "Bacterial small subunit ribosomal RNA", at positions 29 to 456 of the family's 1533-position model. The record is from RNAcentral.